AGUGAACGCUGGCGGCCUGUCUAAUACAUGCAAGUCGAACGAUGAAGCUUCUAGCUUGCUAGAAGUGGAUUAGUGGCGCACGGGUGAGUAAGGUAUAGUUAAUCUGCCCUACACAAGAGGACAACAGUUGGAAACGACUGCUAAUACUCUAUACUCCUGCUUAACACAAGUUGAGUAGGGAAAGUUUUUCGGUGUAGGAUGAGACUAUAUAGUAUCAGCUAGUUGGUAAGGUAAUGGCUUACCAAGGCUAUGACGCUUAACUGGUCUGAGAGGAUGAUCAGUCACACUGGAACUGAGACACGGUCCAGACUCCUACGGGAGGCAGCAGUAGGGAAUAUUGCGCAAUGGGGGAAACCCUGACGCAGCAACGCCGCGUGGAGGAUGACACUUUUCGGAGCGUAAACUCCUUUUCUUAGGGAAGAAUUCUGACGGUACCUAAGGAAUAAGCACCGGCUAACUCCGUGCCAGCAGCCGCGGUAAUACGGAGGGUGCAAGCGUUACUCGGAAUCACUGGGCGUAAAGGGCGCGUAGGCGGAUUAUCAAGUCUCUUGUGAAAUCUAAUGGCUUAACCAUUAAACUGCUUGGGAAACUGAUAGUCUAGAGUGAGGGAGAGGCAGAUGGAAUUGGUGGUGUAGGGGUAAAAUCCGUAGAUAUCACCAAGAAUACCCAUUGCGAAGGCGAUCUGCUGGAACUCAACUGACGCUAAGGCGCGAAAGCGUGGGGAGCAAACAGG
Molecule: ribosomal RNA, 733 nt
Filed under: uncultured bacterium
Lineage: Bacteria
Description: bacterial SSU rRNA
Rfam family: Bacterial small subunit ribosomal RNA
Source: RNAcentral